UUGCUUUAAGUUUUGUCUCCUUUUAAUAUUUAAUUAGAUACCUUAAGAUUAAAAUAAGCUUAAAACGAAACAGCACAGCAACCCUUUUCUGUUCAUCUUGAGAACACAAAACCCUCUUUUGUUAAAAUUCGGCGCUGCACAAAAUCCUGGCUUAUAUUUUCCAACAAAAUACCACUUCGCAACCCUGGAUUUUCACGAAGCGUUUCAUUCGGGUCAUAGUUUUGCAACUUCGGGCCAUUCGGUGUUGUAUGCCAUAUUGGCUGCCAUAUUGUUCACACUGUCAUCGCCAUAUUGAACACCCUGUCAACUAUCUGUCAACCCUAAGAUAUCUCACUUGUAUUCUUCCAUAAUGCCUGUGAAGUUCU
Long non-coding RNA from Rhagoletis zephyria (snowberry fruit fly), 365 nucleotides. RefSeq lists it as uncharacterized. The record is from RefSeq and is a predicted model, not a curated record. NCBI's taxonomy places the organism in Eukaryota, Metazoa, Arthropoda, Insecta, Diptera, Tephritidae.